RNAcentral lists this ribosomal RNA (596 nucleotides) under Dujonia railenensis. RNAcentral's name for it is "eukaryotic LSU rRNA". The stretch from base 192 to 345 matches the Rfam family "5.8S ribosomal RNA". Lineage: Eukaryota; Fungi; Ascomycota; Pichiomycetes; Serinales; Debaryomycetaceae. The record is from RNAcentral.
CAGGUAUUCUUUUGCAGCGCUUAUUGCGCGGCGAAAACCUUACACACUAUGUUUUUUUAAUUUGAAACUAUUGCUUUGGUCUGGCUUAGAAAUAGGUUGGGCCAAAGGUUUUAUCAAAACUUCAAUAUUUAUUAUUGAAUUGUUAUUUUUAAUUUUAUGUCAAUUUGUUGAUUAAUAUCAAAAAUCUUCAAAACUUUCAACAACGGAUCUCUUGGUUCUCGCAUCGAUGAAGAACGCAGCGAAAUGCGAUAAGUAAUAUGAAUUGCAGAUUUUCGUGAAUCAUCGAAUCUUUGAACGCACAUUGCGCCCUUUGGUAUUCCAAAGGGCAUGCCUGUUUGAGCGUCAUUUCUCUCUCAAAUCUUCGGAUUUGGUUUUGAGUGAUACUCUUAGUCAGACUAAGCGUUUGCUUGAAAUGUAUUGGCAUGAGUGGUACUAGAUAGUGCUGAACUGUUUUCAAUGUAUUAGGUUUAUCCAACUCAUUGACCAGUAAAGUAUUUGUUUAUUACACAGGCUCGGCCUUACAACAACAAACAAAGUUUGACCUCAAAUCAGGUAGGACUACCCGCUGAACUUAAGCAUAUCAUAGGCGGGGAGGA